Long non-coding RNA from Pseudopipra pipra, 977 nucleotides. RefSeq lists it as uncharacterized. Lineage: Eukaryota; Metazoa; Chordata; Aves; Passeriformes; Pipridae. The record is from RefSeq and is a predicted model, not a curated record. The transcript is spliced from 5 exons.
AGUGCGAAUGAACACUUCCGAGAGGGAGGUGGGGCAGACAGCCGGCGGCAGGAAUCACUGCAGCCAUCUCCGGGUCACUCCAGAGCUGGCUGUACUUCAGCGAGAGAUAAAGAGACCUCUGGGAACUAUUUGCGACAUUUUCAAGAGGUUCUGAAAUCCUUUAAGGAGCAGCAGCAAACAAUCUGGAAAAAUGGCAUGAUUUGAUUGUAGCAGUAAUAGAGCUCCUGGAAUCCAGCAUCACAGCCUUGUCUGCUACUGGCCUACUCACAGCCUCCAAAGGCACUAAUUACAUCCUCUGGAUUGAUUCAUGGAUUUCACUGAGGUUCAGCACCGUGUUUCUUCCAGGAAAGGGCAAUUUCCACUCAAACAGGUACCUGAGAGGAAGGGGGAGAACUGGCCAUCCAUUUGUGAAGGACAGUAUAAGAGAGCUCAUCUAAUGGGGACUGAGCUUUGCCCCAUGGAGGCUGGUGCUCUCUGCUGCUCCCCAGAUGUCUCAGUUCCAUCAGUCACAGUGAAGUAACGUGAUGUACCCGCCUGUGUCUCCAAGAAGUGACAAAGUCUGUCAGCGUGUGCUUCGGCUUCUGACAAUGACACAUGUUCUUCAGGUCUGCUGACUUCACCAAGGGCAUGAGCAUCACUUGGAUUUUCUCCCAAAGAGGCUACAGCUAGAAGUUUGACCACAAGGUCACCAGGGCUUAACUCGCCCCAUGGCUACUAAUGUUUCAUUGGCAGAAACCCAAUCUUUGAUGCAAUCUCUUCCAGUCCUACCAGGCCAUACACUCGUCUAUGGCUUAACUGUUGUUCUACCACAAGCUUUGCCAAAUCCUCCACCUCCAAGAUACCAUCUUCAUGGACAAGCACAGAUGUCUGAAGCAUUAAAAGCCAUUGAUGAAGUGAAGAUUGUCCGGCACCACAGACAUGGAGAUCCUCCUCCCCACACAGGGCAGCAAUAACAUCCCCUUGGGUUUUGGGUUCAA